Molecule: non-coding RNA, 347 nt
Organism: Paramuricea clavata
Lineage: Eukaryota; Metazoa; Cnidaria; Anthozoa; Malacalcyonacea; Plexauridae
Source: the annotation of a GenBank genome assembly
GCAAAAUUGUAUGACCUCUGCGGCAAAGUACUUCGAAAUUAUACUUUUGGAAAAGAUAUAUCGUGGAUAUAAAACAACGGUCAGUAACACAGUAUUAUUCGGUGAUACCCAGUUUAUUCAAAUAUAGCUCUGCUGCGGGCAAGCACUUUUACUCUUCUGGUGGACAAAGGAAUACGUUGGCUCAAGUAUUGACGUAUAUGAAAUUCAGUGAGACGCAGUUUAUUUAAUCGCCCAAUAACGCCACUAAGAAAUAAUGAGGACGUAGCCUCAGAUUAACACGUGUGAGGACGUAGCCAUCACAAAUAAGCGAGAAUAAAAUCUCACAAGGAUUAUAAAAUAUGGAGUAC